UAUUUUUAUUUGUUUCGGUUUUAAAGUUUUGAUUCGGGUACAUCUGAAUAAAUUUUCACAAACUUGACAAACCCAUAUAACAAGAACUUAGAGGAAAUAAAAAAAGAACAUUGCAUCCCAGAACCCCCCUCCUGCCCCCUUCCAGUACCUACUUCCAACAUCCGAAGAAUAAUGAUUACCUAGACUUCUAACAGACUUUAUGUAAAUGGAAUCAUAGUGCAUGCAUUCUUUUUGUGUCAGGGUUUUUCACUCUUUGUAAGUUUCAGCUACCUCAUGUACAGCUGAGGGUUCUUCAUAUUCUUCCUUGUUUGAUAUUGCCUACAGUUUCGCUCUUGUUACCCAGGCUGGAGUGCAAUGGAGUGAUCUCGGCUCACGGCAACCUCUGCCUCCUGAAUUCAGGCAAUACUCCUACCUCAGCCUCCUGAGUAGCUGGGAUUACAGAUCUCACCAGACUGCAUCCUGCCAUAAGGUUCAAAAGCUGCUGUGUCUCUUCUUCUCUGAAGCCCCUUUGAUGUCCCCUGCCUGCAGCCAAGACCAUGACUGGAGUGCAGUGGUGCAAUCUUGGAUUAUGGCAACCUCCGCUUCCGAGGUUCAAGAGAGUCUUCUCCCUCAGCCUCCCGAAUAG
Molecule: long non-coding RNA, 625 nt
Filed under: Callithrix jacchus (white-tufted-ear marmoset)
Lineage: Eukaryota; Metazoa; Chordata; Mammalia; Primates; Cebidae
Description: lncRNA (ENSCJAG00000058643.2)
Source: RNAcentral